UGGGGAAUAUUGCACAAUGGGCGCAAGCCUGAUGCAGCCAUGCCGCGUGUAUGAAGAAGGCCUUCGGGUUGUAAAGUACUUUCAGCGAGGAGGAAGGCGGUAAGGUUAAUAACCUUAUCGAUUGACGUUACUCGCAGAAGAAGCACCGGCUAACUCCGUGCCAGCAGCCGCGGUAAUACGGAGGGUGCAAGCGUUAAUCGGAAUUACUGGGCGUAAAGCGCACGCAGGCGGUCUGUCAAGUCGGAUGUGAAAUCCCUGGGCUCAACCUGGGAACUGCAUUCGAAACUGGCAGGCUAGAGUCUUGUAGAGGGGGGUAGAAUUCCAGGUGUAGCGGUGAAAUGCGUAGAGAUCUGGAGGAAUACCGGUGGCGAAGGCGGCCCCCUGGACAAAGACUGACGCUCAGGUGCGAAAGCGUGGGGAGCAAACA
This 427-nucleotide ribosomal RNA is filed under the name uncultured bacterium. Its description in RNAcentral is "partial 16S ribosomal RNA". It matches the Rfam family "Bacterial small subunit ribosomal RNA", at positions 355 to 774 of the family's 1533-position model. The record is from RNAcentral.